UUGACCUACGGGGCGCAGCAGUGGGGGAUAUUGCACAAUGGGGGAAACCCUGAUGCAGCGACGCCGCGUGGAGGAAGAAGGUCUUCGGAUUGUAAACUCCUGUCCGAGGGGACGAUAAUGACGGUACCCUUGGAGGAAGCACCGGCUAACUACGUGCCAGCAGCCGCGGUAAAACGUAGGGUGCAAGCGUUGUCCGGAAUUACUGGGUGUAAAGGGAGCGCAGGCGGACUGUCAAGUUGGGAGUGAAAACUACGGGCUCAACCCGUAACUUGCUUUCAAAACUGGCGGUCUUGAGUGGUGUAGAG
Molecule: ribosomal RNA, 305 nt
Filed under: uncultured bacterium
Lineage: Bacteria
Description: bacterial SSU rRNA
Rfam family: Bacterial small subunit ribosomal RNA
Source: RNAcentral